UCCGUAGGUGAACCUGCGGAGGGAUCAUUACCGAGUUUACAACUCCCAAACCCCUGUGAACAUACCAAUUGUUGCCUCGGCGGAUCAGCCCGCUCCCGGUAAAACGGGACGGCCCGCCAGAGGACCCCUAAACUCUGUUUCUAUAUGUAACUUCUGAGUAAAACCAUAAAUAAAUCAAAACUUUCAACAACGGAUCUCUUGGUUCUGGCAUCGAUGAAGAACGCAGCAAAAUGCGAUAAGUAAUGUGAAUUGCAGAAUUCAGUGAAUCAUCGAAUCUUUGAACGCACAUUGCGCCCGCCAGUAUUCUGGCGGGCAUGCCUGUUCGAGCGUCAUUUCAACCCUCAAGCCCCCGGGUUUGGUGUUGGGGAUCGGCGAGCCCUUGCGGCAAGCCGGCCCCGAAAUCUAGUGGCGGUCUCGCUGCAGCUUCCAUUGCGUAGUAGUAAAACCCUCGCAACUGGUACGCGGCGCGGCCAAGCCGUUAAACCCCCAACUUCUGAAUGUUGACCUCGAUCAGGUAGGA
This 520-nucleotide ribosomal RNA is filed under the name Fusarium proliferatum. RNAcentral describes it as "eukaryotic LSU rRNA". The stretch from base 179 to 332 matches the Rfam family "5.8S ribosomal RNA". The record is from RNAcentral. Lineage: Eukaryota; Fungi; Ascomycota; Sordariomycetes; Hypocreales; Nectriaceae.